GAUGAACGCUGGCGGCGUGCCUAAUACAUGCAAGUCGAGCGAACGGAUGAGAAGCUUGCUUCUCUGAUGUUAGCGGCGGACGGGUGAGUAACACGUGGAUAACCUACCUAUAAGACUGGGAUAACUUCGGGAAACCGGAGCUAAUACCGGAUAAUAUUUUGAACCGCAUGGUUCAAAAGUGAAAGACGGUCUUGCUGUCACUUAUAGAUGGAUCCGCGCUGCAUUAGCUAGUUGGUAAGGUAACGGCUUGCCAAGGCAACGAUGCAUAGCCGACCUGAGAGGGUGAUCGGCCACACUGGAACUGAGACACGGUCCAGACUCCUACGGGAGGCAGCAGUAGGGAAUCUUCCGCAAUGGGCGAAAGCCUGACGGAGCAACGCCGCGUGAGUGAUGAAGGUCUUCGGAUCGUAAAACUCUGUUAUUAGGGAAGAACAUAUGUGUAAGUAACUGUGCACAUCUUGACGGUACCUAAUCAGAAAGCCACGGCUAACUACGUG
RNAcentral lists this ribosomal RNA (497 nucleotides) under uncultured bacterium. RNAcentral's name for it is "partial 16S ribosomal RNA". It matches the Rfam family "Bacterial small subunit ribosomal RNA", at positions 28 to 507 of the family's 1533-position model. The record is from RNAcentral.